RNAcentral lists this ribosomal RNA (468 nucleotides) under uncultured bacterium. RNAcentral describes it as "partial 16S ribosomal RNA". It matches the Rfam family "Bacterial small subunit ribosomal RNA", at positions 28 to 507 of the family's 1533-position model. The record is from RNAcentral.
GACGAACGCUGGCGGCGUGCUUAACACAUGCAAGUCGAACGGAAAGGCCCUGCUUUUGUUGGGUUCUCGAGUGGCGAACGGGUGAGUAACACGUGAGUAACCUGCCCUUGACUUUGUGAUAACUUCAGGAAACUGGGGCGAAUACCGGAUAGGAGCUCCUGCUGCAUGGUGGGGGUUGGAAAGUUUCGGCGGUUGGGGAUGGACUCGCGGGUUAUCAGCUGGUUUGUGGGGUAGUGGCUUACCAAGGCUUUGACGGGUAGCCGGCAUGAGAGGGUGACCGGCCACAUUGGGACUGAGAUACGGACCAGACUCGUACGGGAGGCAGCAGUGGGGAAUAUUGCACAAUGGGCGGAAGCCUGAUGCAGCAACGCCGCGUGCGGGAUGACGGCCUUCGGGUUGUAAACCGAUUUCGCCUGUGACGAAGCGUGAGUGACGGUAAUGGGUAAAGAAGCACCGGCUAACUACGUG